AACAAAGUAAAAUUGGUGCCUUUAAUUAGAUAAUAAACAGAUGGUAGGUCUGUUGUGAGUCAGACGCAGGAUGGAACAAUAAAUUCUCUGCUUUAUUCUGCUCAGACAGCUACACCACCAGCAGCUGGGUUUUGCUUCUGGUUCCAUCUCCCCACGGCCUCAUCUCCACUGGGACGGUUGAUCUGGCUUGCAUUGUCCACGGAGUCUCCAACCCAGUCCAAAUUUCCUGGAAUAUUUCUGGGGAUCAGCAGGAACAGGCACUAAUGCGAUCACUGAAAGCAAAGGAUGGAUCCUUAAUGCUCAUAAGUCACAUUAGCAUCCCAAAAGACACCUGGACCAGUGGGAAGAUUUUCACAUGUGAAGUCAAAUUCAACUCUUCUGGCAACAGAGUUAAGAAAAGUGCCAGGUAUUUUGAAUUCCAUCCCAGCGGGUGUGUGCCGCAGAUAUUGCACCACGUGGUGGCAGUUUUCCUGGUGGGGUUGAUGGUGUCUCUGAGUCUGGCUUGGAUUCGCUGCUGUUCCAGUCCAGGCUCAAAGGGUUUAUGCCCGAGUGAAGUUUCAGUCAAGGAAUCACAACCAGAUCAGGAUGCAGUGGCUGAUGGACGAGAAAAAUCCUAACCCACCCUGAGAUCCGAGCCUGGAAACUCACAGCUGGUUCACUGCUGACCUCAACGACGGUAGCCAUUUUGUAAGAUGGUGUCUUUCUGUAAAAGCUGUUGGUUUGUUUUUACUGCUUCUGCUCUUCACCGCUGCUGCAUGUGGCUCAGUUGCAAAAUAUAAUUAAAAAGUAACCUGACUUGUCCACCUCCUAGAGUAUAAAUAGCAGGAAGUCACAGAAAGAACCAAACCCGUGGAGGUGAGAGAUUUCCUGCUGCGAUAGGCAAGACAUUGUCAUGCCUGUGAGGGGGCUGCUGGCCCCUUCCUGACACUUACUGGGGUUCUUUGGUCGGCCCUUUCCCAGUACCAAAAGAAAGGGGACGGGCCGAUGAGAAACUGACAGUCCUCGGGGUCAAUGGGGAGAGGCCGAUGCACCAAGUCAGCUAGAUUGACGGGGCAGGCAGGCCAAUGAGGGAGCCGGGAGCCUGGAGGGCCCGUCCUCCAUCUGAGGUUUACCUGCCUACGGCAGACUGAGUAGGGCUGAGCUAAGGGGAGAGCAGCAGCCGGCGCUGAGGUCGAGGCAGAGGGAUCAGGGAGCAGCCCAGAUGGCAGAGCUGGGCUGGGGGUAGAGCUGGGCUAGGGGCAGAGCAGACCAGCCGCCGACAGGGAGCCGGGCUGAGCUGCAGCGGGGAGCUGCUGGGCCGGAGCUGGGGAGUGGACGCCGGCCCCGCCGCACGUAACACUGGAGCCGAGCGCGCUGAGCGGCUGGCGAGAGUGAGGGGGACUCUGUGCGCAGGGAGACGUCGCCAGACAAGAGGCCUUGCAGGCCAGACUUGGAGCAGGGACAUGAACCCGAUGGGACGGCUGGUGCUGGGGAGAAGGGUCCUGCCAUCUAGAUCCUGAGGGCGAGUGGCCACCCCCAGAGCAGGUGUCUGACCCGGGGUAUCACCGCAGCACAGCCAGGGCCUGGGACGUGUGAGGAACAGACUGUGAGCUCCCCUGACAUCCCAGAGCCGGCUGGUUGUGCUGUCUCCUGUGCCCACUGGGUGGAAUUCCUUGUUCCCUUUAACCUUUCCCAUUUUUCCCCAAUUUUUUUUACUGUUGUUGUUUAGUGGAUUGCAUUGGGUUUGAACUAUCUAUAUUGAUCCGGGGGUCAGGGAAGUGUCCGGUGUGGAGAGAGGACCCCAGAGUGCGGACACCCUCUCCCCUGUCCCGUGCAGCAAAGUCCUCACAUCCUCGACAAGACGGGGGUUUCAGCCUCCCAGGAAUCCUGGGCCCAGCCUUGUUGGCGUUUUGCCGCAUGGGAGACUGAAAAGGGAGUCCUCAAGGUCAGACAGGCAUCUGGGUAAAGGGAGUUGGAGUGAGGACUCAGAUCCGUUCGAUGGCCAAUUCCAUCGGGUUAGUGUAUGAGCCAGGAAAGUUCCCCACUUCCUCCCUGAGCUCAGUUACUCAGGCUGGGUGCUAGUAAUAGGAGUUGGGGCGUAGGGCCUGCCUUAUUCACACAGGCAGUCACAGGGAACUCAGCUACUCUCAUGUCUAAUCCGAGUCCUUAGUGGUGUCGAAAGGGGAGGUGGGAGGUUGUACCCACGAGAAACUGAACAUUCACCUGAUUGGGUGUGAGACUCAGGUGUGUUACCAGUGGCACAAGGAGGACCAGAAAAACCUAGAUGCAGAACCAGACGUGGCCCCCUGACGCGUACAGCAGAUGGAAGGGGCAGAACCAGACAGAAGUGGGUAGAGACUGCUUCCUAGGAGCUGUCAUCAGCAGGACCGUGCCGCCUGGCCAGCAGUAUCGUUCCAUGGUGUGAGGGGAGAUUAUAAAUGGGAAACAGUGUCUGAACGGAGCUGUGUGAGGUCAGGCUCUCUCCGCAUCCCUGUCCUGGAGCAGCUACUCCAACGAAUUCCUUGGGAGACUGCUGCUUUUCCUGAAGGGGUCGAUCCACAGGGCCAGGUGCCAACACCCGUCUGUCUUCUCUCAGUAACAAUGCUUUAUCAAUGGGAGGGGCUCCCCCAACCACGGAGCCUGCACAUGCCGCCUGGUGUGAUACUAACUCCUCAUUUUGAAUCUGUAAUUCUAAAUGUUGCUCAUUAAAAAA
Molecule: non-coding RNA, 2692 nt
Organism: Chrysemys picta bellii (western painted turtle)
Lineage: Eukaryota; Metazoa; Chordata; Testudines; Emydidae
Source: RefSeq, a predicted model, not a curated record